AUGCUUGUUUGGCUUACGCCGUAGACAGCAGGGGCAAUUUGCUUAAUGUCCUGCCGAGGUUGAGGCCUGAUGAAAGGUAAACAAUAGGGAGAAAAAGGGACUUUAGUCUGCUUUUUUGUCCUGUGUUUGCCCGACCUCAGCCCCGGCGCAAUGCUUAGGGGUUAUUUUUUUGCCAA
Cyanothece sp. is the source of this 176-nucleotide non-coding RNA. The record is from Rfam. Lineage: Bacteria; Bacillati; Cyanobacteriota; Cyanophyceae; Gomontiellales; Cyanothecaceae.